GCUGCCCCUAGAGGCCUUGCAGGUGUGCCUGCUAUGUCACACGUGUGUCAAUACAUGGCAGAGAGGAGAGGGGCUAUGCCUAUGCUCUGUGUUCUAAUCUGCAGACAUCUGAAUGAUUAGUAGCCUAAGACU
This is a small nucleolar RNA of Mastomys coucha (southern multimammate mouse), 132 nucleotides long. RefSeq annotates it as small nucleolar RNA SNORA17. NCBI's taxonomy places the organism in Eukaryota, Metazoa, Chordata, Mammalia, Rodentia, Muridae. The record is from RefSeq and is a predicted model, not a curated record. The transcript has a single exon.